Molecule: long non-coding RNA, 6911 nt
Organism: Anolis carolinensis (green anole)
Lineage: Eukaryota; Metazoa; Chordata; Lepidosauria; Squamata; Anolidae
Exons: 3
Source: RefSeq, a predicted model, not a curated record
CCGUUUUGGAGGCGGGGCUUCUUCUUGGCUGUAAAUUGUAAAAUUUGCCUCAGACAAUCUCGGGACGCCGAGAGAGAAGGCAGCUUGGCCUGGGAGCCAUUCUGAAGGCCUGGGUCGGAAGAAAGAAAGAAAGAAAGAAAGAAAGAAAGGGCAGCCGCGGCUAGAAGGCCCGAAGAGACAGGCUCCGUUUCUGAAGCAGAAAUGGCAAAGCCUUGUGAAACAGACGGAAGAAAUAAAGGCAAAAUUUUUGAAAAUUUCCACAGCUUUUUCUGAAGGGACCAGCGCUGAAUUCAAGUCAACGUGAAGAAAGAAACAAAAGGUCGAGAGACAGAGGACGGAAGAUGCUUGAAGACACCCUCGCAAGGACACCGCCUGCCUCCCAAAAAAGGUCGUUUUCAGGGUAAUUGGUGUAAGGGUAGGCAUUUAAUGUCUAUCUUUGCAUUAAAAAAAGGGUUACCUUUGCACACGGUUCCCCUCGCGUGUGGCAUCGAAGAAGUCCCACUCGGGAACGGACGGGUCCUCCCUUUGUUCUAGGCAGAUGAUGGGUCUUCCUAUACGGGCCGUAGGGGUCACAGCUUGGGGGUCAGCGGGGGGGCCCGCCCUGGCAUCGCGGGGGGCAGCACACGUUACGGGCAUUUUAAGAUGUCCUUGCAACUUAGAAAUAAAAAUAUUAAUACCUUAACUCACUAACAUCCUACUAACACCAUUCUAAAUAGGGUACCCUGGCCUUUUAAAUAGGACUGUUCUGCCUGAUGGCAAGAACCAAGCUGGGAAGGGAGGGGGCCUCCUGGCCCCCCAUAAAAGGGCCCCCAUGUAAGGACAUUGCAAAAGGCCCCUAAGGUGUCCUGAGAGCAGCCUCUUGGUCCUUAGUGUGUUCCCCACGGAGCCAGGUCUGGGCCCCUUGCUCUCCCCCAACCCAUGGACCCUGCCGCUUGUAUAUCAUCCGUCCAGGGCCAACGGACGCCCCCUCCCUCCCCGGGCGGAGCUUCGAGGCCACACUCAAGGGGAGACCAGAGCCGUGUGCCUCAUGCCAACGCCUAGCACGUGGCGAACCUUUUUUUUUACUGCAAACAUAGGCAUCAUGAUUGUGAUUUUUGUUAAUUCCUUUUAAAUUUAAUUGUUUGUAUUUGAUAGCAUGGUAGGCUGGUUUUAUAUCAGUGAGCCGCCCCGAGUCCCUCUGGGGAGACGGUGGCAGGGUACAAAAAUAAAAUUAUUAUUAUUAUUAUUGAUUCGAGGCACCUGGAAAAAGAAAUACCAGGAAGCAGAUAAAAUUAUUAUUAUUAUUAUUAUUGAUUCGAGGCACCUGGAAAAAGAAAUACCAGGAAGCAGAUAAAAUUAUUAUUAUUUAUUAUAGGCACCUGGAAAAAGAAAUACCAGGAAGCAGAUAAAAUUAUUAUGAUUAUGAUUAUUAUUAUUAUUAUUGAUUCCAGGAAAAAGAAAUACCAGGAAGCAGAUAAAAUUAUUAUUGUUAUUGUUCUUGUUAUUAUUAUGUAUAUUUAUGUAAGGCCACACACCCAGGGGACCACUAUUCCUAAUUAAAGCCUGGUUAAAGGGGAUCCUCUAUUCUUAAAGUUAGGCGUAUAGAGAUCUCCUAUCCAGAAACUAAUGCGGCCUGCCCUAUAGAGAUCUGUUAAACCAAGGCGGCCUGCCCUAUAGAGAUCUCCUAUUUCACGUAACACCAGGCAAUAUGGAGAUCCCUGGUUUUUUUAACCAUUAAAUCCCUUACGUGGGGAUAUCCCUGGUUAUUUUAACCGUUAAAUCCCUUACGUGGGGAUAUCCCUGGUUAUUUUAACCUUUAAGUCCCUUACGUGGGGAAAUCCCUGGUUUUUUUAACCUUUAAGGCCAGAUGUGGGGAUUUCCUUGCUUCUUUUAACCCGUGAGGCCAGCCAUGGGGAGAUAUCUUAGGCUGUUUUCAUGAAAAGUCAGGUAUAGACGCACUGUUUUCUCUCCCGUUCCAUGUGCCUGGACUCCCGGAGGGCUCCUGCCGGACACCGUCUCCCAUCGGCCGAGAGGGAUCCUUCCUGUCUGGGAAGGAUCUGCAACACAGGUAAAAAGAAGAUUCCGGGAAGGAGAUUCUACAGCGCAGCCCUUAAGCCAGGUGAGACACUCCUUCCAGCCUCCACGGCUGCCUUGCACACACACACACAUGAGACACACAAACACACAUGACACACACAAACACAUACACAUGUACAGCUGGUGCCCACGGGGACUCUUCCCCAAUAGAUCGGGGACUCCCACUCCGGCGAUUGGCCAUUGUAAAUGCCUUGAAGCAGUUUGGGGCUUCCGGCCAAGCGCUUGCAAAGAGAAUCCAUUCAAGGUUGCACCCCCUUUUAAAGGGCCUGGCACGUGGUAUUUAUUCCUGGCACGUGGAAAACUCCAUUUGUAAGGCAAACCCUCGUUAAAGGAGGUUUGCAAUUAGUUUAAAACCAGGCUUCUGAGGGACCCCCUGCGUUUAAAGCCAAACCUAGCAGGUAGGAACCCCUUGGUUAACGUAAGGCGAGGGACCCUCCAUAUUUAAUAAGAUGCCUGGCAGAAUCUUAACCUAAAUGCAGGCCUAUGGGCUACAGCCUAUUCUGCAUAGCCAGGCAUGGGGGGACCCCAGAUUAUUAACUUGAAGCCUGGGAAAAGGAGAUUUUCGUAUUUACAUAUUUAUUUAUUACAAUAUUUAUAUCCGGCCCUCUCUCCCCUUAAAAGGGGACUCAGAGCGGCUUACAAGUGAUAUUUACAUAUUUAUUACAAUAUUUAUAUCCGGCCCUCUCUCCCCUUAAAAGGGGACUCAGAGCGGCUUACAAGUGAUAUUUACAUAUUUAUUUAUUACAAUAUUUAUAUCCGGCCCUCUCUCCCCUUAAAAGGGGACUCAGAGCGGCUUACAAGUGAUAUUUACAUAUUUAUUUAUUACAAUAUUUAUAUCCGGCCCUCUCUCCCCUUAAAAGGGGACUCAGAGCGGCUUACAAGUGAUAUUUACAUAUUUAUUUAUUACAAUAUUUAUAUCCCGCCCUCUCUCCCCUUAAAAGGGGACUCAGAGCGGCUUACAAGUGAUAUUUACAUAUUUAUUUAUUACAAUAUUUAUAUCCGGCCCUCUCUCCCCUUAAAAGGGGACUCAGAGCGGCUUACAAGUGAUAUUUACAUAUUUAUUUAUUACAAUAUUUAUAUCCCGCCCUCUCUCUCCUUAAAAGGGGACUCAGCGCGGCUCAACAAUAAGACGCAUAUAUAAAAACCACACAGUGCAAUAUAAAUCAUCACUAACUUACAUCAGUAUUCAUAAAACACAUUAUAAAAUACAGAUAGGUGUGUUCAGUUCAAAUCCAUUUAAGGUAUACGUGGACCCCCUUUUAAUGCCAACCUUUCCACGUGGAAAACUAUUUGUAAGGCAAACCCUCGUUAAAGGAGGUUUGCAAUUAAUUAAAAACCAGGCUUCUGAGGGACCCGCUGCGUUUAAAGCCAAACCUAGCAGGUGGGAACCCCUUCGGUUAACGCAAGGUGAGGGACCCUCUAUUUUUAAUAGGAUGCCUGGGAGAAUCUUAACCUAAAUGCAGGCCUAUGGGCUACAGCCUAUUCUGCAUAGCCAGGCAUGGGGGGACCCCAUAUGAUUAAUUUGAAGCCUGGUAAAAGGAGAUUUUUGUAUUUAUUACAUUUAUAUCCCGCCCUCUCUCCCCUUAAAAGGGGACUCAGAGUGGCUUACGAGUUAUAUUUACAUAUUUAUUUAUUUAUUACAAUAUUUAUAUCCCGCCCUCUCUCCCCUUAAAGGGGACUCAGGGCAGCUUAACAAUAAGACGCAUAUAUAAAAAACCAUACAGUGCAAUGUAAGUCAUCAUUAACUUACAUCAGUAUUCAUAAAACACAUCAUAAAAUACAGAUAGGUGUAUUACAUACACUAUAUCAUUAGCAUCGCACAAUAUUAGCAUUAUAUAUUACUACAUUGCAUUAUACCACUAUACAGAAACGUUAUUAGCAAUAUUACAUUUAAUAUAUUAUAUGUAAUUCAUAUUAUUAUAUUGUAUCAUUGUUAGUAUUAUAUUGCAUUACUUAUUUAUUUGCUAGAUGUAUACGCUGCCCUUCUCACCCCCAAGGUGAACAGCUUACAAAUUAAAUGUACAUACAAUAUUAAUAUUAUUACCAUAGUACAAUACUGGCAGUAAAUUACUAUAUUGUACUAUAUGAAUAUAUGGUAAUGUUAUUAGUAGUAUUACAUGCAAAAUGUAAUACAUAAUUAAUAUUAUUAUAUUUUAUGAUUAGUAUAUCGUAUUACAAUAUAAUAAUAUGAACAUUAUAUGUUUAUGCAAUAUGUUAUAAUUAUAUAUUAAAUUUUUUAUAUACAUACAUAUAUAUACACAUAGUAGAGUCAUCCAACAGAAAUGGGCCAGCGAAUAUUUUUUUAUUUAUUUACAGCAUUUUACCGGGCUGGCCUCGAACUCAUGACCUGGUCAGAGUGAUUUGUUGAUAUUUAUUAUUCAUUUACAGCAUUUAUAUUCCGCCCUUCCUUCUCACCCCGAAGGGGACUCAGGGCGGAUCACAUGACACAUAUAGGCAAACAUUCAAUGCCUUUUAACAUAGAACAAAGACAAACAAACAUGCUCCGAGCGGGCCUCGAACUCGUGACCUCCUGGUCAGAGUGAUUCAUUGCAGUUAAUUGCAGCUGGCUUGCUUUCCAGCCUGCGCUGUUGGAUAAUAAGGAGGCAUUAUGGAAAAGCCUAUUAAACAUCAAAUUAGUUGAUGAUUUUACAAAUUAAGCACCAAAACAUCAUUUGACAGAAAAAGUAGUUCAAUAUGCAGUAAUGCUAUGUAGUAAUUACUGUAUUUACGGAUUUAGCACCAAAAUAUCACGACGCAUUGAAAACAUGGACUACAAAAAUGCGUUGAAUAAUCCAGAAUGUUGGAUAAGAGAGUGUUGGAUGAGACUACUGUAUAUACAAUAUAAAUUAGAAUAGCAUGUUAUUGGGGGAGGAGCAUCUUGGUUAUUAGAUGUUUUUAUUAGUUAUUGAUAUUAGUAUAGAUAUGACAUUGAGUAUAUAUUAUCCUAGCACAAUGUUAAUAUUAGUUAUUCAUAUUAGUCUCUAUGACAUUAAUAGAGUACAUUAUUAUCCUAGCACAAUGUUAUUAGAUGUUAAUAUUAGUUAUAUAUAAUAGUCUCCAUAUGACAUUAAUAGAGUAUAUUAUUAUUCUAGCACAAUGUUAUUACAUAGGACCAUGUUGUUGCUAGGGGGAGGGCCCCCCCACUGAUUGUAUUAUUAGUAUUAUGUUGUUGCUAGGGGGAGGGCCCCCCAACUGAGAUCCCCUGUCAUUAAUGUGUCAGACCAGGCAUUUCACUCCUACCUUUGCAUCAGAAAGCAGGCUCCCUGUGCGCUAGGCCUUCCUUUGAGGAACACAUUCACGGCUCCGCUUGAGUGGGGCAUUGAGGCCCCACUCAGGGACGGGCGGGUCCUCCCUUUGCCCUGGGCAGAUCGUGGGGGGUGGGCGGAUCUCCCUAGACGGGCAGGGGGUCGCGGCUGGCGGGACAGCGGGAUAUAAAAAUAUAAAUAUAUAUAUUAAAACCCUUGCACCCAAGGAAACAACUCUGGGGACCCGAGCGGCUGCUCCCAGCUCACGUCACGGGCAUUUUAAACAUCUCGUAGCAGCUCAGAUUAAUACCUGAACUAACCUUAACCUGCUAACCCUACUAACCCAUUUCUAACUAGAGCAGGAAUAGGGCUGUUUUUGCCUGUUGGCAAGAACCAAGCUGGGAGGGGGCCUCCGGGCCUCGGGUGGGAAGAACCCUAACCCUGUCCCUGCCCUGCGCUGGGAGCGCCCCCCCUCGGGACCCCAGUGUUUGGUCCCCGCUCUCCCCCAAUCCGACGGCCUAGAAAGCCCCUCCGCCAUCCGCCCAGGGCCAACGGACAGCCCUCCCUCCCCGGCAGCCGCGUUCCUCAUGCAACAGGGAGCCUGGUUCUGGAUGCAAACGUGGGACCCCCUUAGGACCCCCUUUUCUCUGUGCAGGGACCCCCGCUCCCCAUAAAUAAAUGCCUGGUGGAAGGGGAUCCUAGUAGAAAAAGCCACAGUUCCCAAGAGCCCCCAAAAGCGAGAUGCUCCCUUGGUUCAGCCUUUCUGACACUUGUUUUCUCCCUUGUUCUAUGUCUCCGGAAUCGCCGAGGGAGGGGCUCCUCCUGGACAAGAGCCAAGGACGGACAGAUGGAUGGACGGACGGAAGAAGAUCCCAGAGAGCAGGACGCCUUGCCGUUCUGGCUGCUGAGCUCGACCCCUUUCCAACAAUGUCAGCGUUCCAGAAUAAAACUCUUCCCAAAAAAAGGUGUUUUCUGGUUAUUAUUCAAACGUUUAAUUUUUGACAGCCUUAAACAUCUAGAUUACAAUACAGUUUGUGCUGCUGCCUUUUAUAAACCUUGUUUUCUACAAAUAAAGUCAAGAGAAACACUAUAAGUUUUGCACUGUGCUCAGACUCAUUGUUCUGAUAUUCUGUUAUAUGGUUUUAUUAUUUAUAUCGUUUUAAUGUAUGACUUUAUUACAUGUGACAUGGGAGCGGGGUAUAAAAAUAAAGUAUUAUUAAUAAACACCACAAUUUUCUUGCACCCCAAGUACAUCUGGCCAUUGCCAAAGAGUAUUUAACUGCCUACAUGGCACUAAAGUGUAUUUAUAUGUUGAUUGUUUCUAUUGAUUUUAUGUAAUGUUUGCUUUAUUUGCAUUGAAUUUUUGUCUGGAUGUAUCUUGUAUGCCGCUCAUCUCCAUAAAUGAGCGGGAUAGAAAUGAGGUUAAUAAUUUUACGAAUGUUUUAAUGUAACUUGAAUUUUAAAUUGAGUUGAAAUGUGAUUGUGAUUGUUUAUAAGUGUUAUCUAUUUGUAAGCCACCCUGAGUCUCCUCUUGGGUGAUAAGGUCUGGGAAGAAAUACUGUCAUAAAUAAAUAAAAUAUUCUGUGUCCA